CAGAUCUCGUCCGAUCGCCUAAGUUAAGAAAUGUUGAGUCUGGUCAGUACAUAGAUGGGUGACCGCUUGGGAAUAUUAAGUGCUGUAAG
Non-coding RNA from Acanthosepion pharaonis, 89 nucleotides. The record is from the annotation of a GenBank genome assembly. Lineage: Eukaryota; Metazoa; Mollusca; Cephalopoda; Sepiida; Sepiidae.